CUACGGGUGGCAGCAGUGAGGAAUAUUGCACAAUGGGGGGGAGCCGGGGGAAGGAACGCCGCGUGGAGGGUGCCGCAUUUCGGUGUGUAAACUCCUUUUCUCUCCCAAGAAAAGGACGGGAGAAGAGGAAUAAGCACCGGCUAACUCCGUGCCAGCAGCCGCGGUAAUACGGAGGGUGCAAGCGUUACUCGGAAUCACUGGGCGUAAAGGACGCGUAGGCGGGUUGGAAAGUCAGGUGUGAAAUCCUACAGCUUAACUGUAGAACUGCACUUGAAACUUCUAAUCUAGAGUAUGGGAGGGGGAGAUGGAAUUAGUGGUGUAGGGGUAAAAUCCGUAGAUAUCACUAGGAAUACCUAAAGCGAAGGCGAUCUCCUGGAACAUUACUGACGCUAAGGCGUGAAAGCGUGGGGAGCAAACAGGAUUAGAUACCCCGGUAGUC
RNAcentral lists this ribosomal RNA (439 nucleotides) under uncultured bacterium. RNAcentral's name for it is "partial 16S ribosomal RNA". It matches the Rfam family "Bacterial small subunit ribosomal RNA", at positions 339 to 795 of the family's 1533-position model. The record is from RNAcentral.